CCUACGGGAGGCAGCAGUGGGGAAUAUUGCGCAAUGGGCGAAAGCCUGACGCAGCAACGCCGUGUGAGGGAUGAAGGCUUUCGGGUCGUAAACCUCUGUCGGAAGGGAAGAACGGAUAACGGUCCAAUAGGCCGUUAUUUUGACGGUACCUUCAGAGGAAGCACCGGCUAACUCCGUGCCAGCAGCCGCGGUAAU
This 195-nucleotide ribosomal RNA is filed under the name uncultured bacterium. RNAcentral's name for it is "partial 16S ribosomal RNA". It matches the Rfam family "Bacterial small subunit ribosomal RNA", at positions 338 to 524 of the family's 1533-position model. The record is from RNAcentral.